UACGUAGGGGGCAAGCGUUGUCCGGAAUUAUUGGGCGUAAAGCGCGCGCAGGCGGCCUCUUAAGUCUGAUGUGAAAGCCCCCGGCUCAACCGGGGAGGGCCAUUGGAAACUGGGAGGCUUGAGUAUAGGAGAGAAGAGUGGAAUUCCACGUGUAGCGGUGAAAUGCGUAGAGAUGUGGAGGAACACCAGUGGCGAAGGCGACUCUUUGGCCUAUAACUGACGCUGAGGGACGAAAGCGUGGGUCGCGAAUGGG
RNAcentral lists this unclassified non-coding RNA (253 nucleotides) under uncultured Caryophanales bacterium. RNAcentral describes it as "uncultured Bacillales bacterium contains 16S-23S intergenic spacer region". It matches the Rfam family "Bacterial small subunit ribosomal RNA", at positions 524 to 776 of the family's 1533-position model. The record is from RNAcentral. Lineage: Bacteria; Bacillati; Bacillota; Bacilli; Caryophanales.